CCUACGGGUGGCAGCAGUAGGGAAUAUUGCUCAAUGGGGGAAACCCUGAAGCAGCAACGCCGCGUGGAGGAUGAAGUUUUUCGGAUUGUAAACUCCUUUUGUUAGAGAAGAUAAUGACGGUAUCUAAUGAAUAAGCACCGGCUAACUCCGUGCCAGCAGCCGCGGUAAUACGGAGGGUGCAAGCGUUACUCGGAUUCACUGGGCGUAAAGAGCGCGUAGGCGGGAUAGCAAGUCAGAUGUGAAAUCCUAUGGCUUAACCAUAGAACUGCAUUUGAAACUGUUAUUCUAGAGUGUGGGAGAGGUAGGUGGAAUUCUUGGUGUAGGGGUAAAAUCCGUAGAGAUCAAGAGGAAUACUCAUUGCGAAGGCGACCUGCUAGAACAUAACUGACGCUGAUGCGCGAAAGCGUGGGGAGCAAACAGGAUUAGAUACCCGAGUAGUC
This 440-nucleotide ribosomal RNA is filed under the name uncultured bacterium. Its description in RNAcentral is "partial 16S ribosomal RNA". It matches the Rfam family "Bacterial small subunit ribosomal RNA", at positions 338 to 795 of the family's 1533-position model. The record is from RNAcentral.